GACGAACGCUGGCGGCGUGCUUAACACAUGCAAGUCGAGCGGUAAGGCCCGUUUCGGGGGUACACGAGCGGCGAACGGGUGAGUAACACGUGGGUGACCUGCCCUUAGCUCUGGGAUAAGCCUGGGAAACUGGGUCUAAUACCGGAUAUGACUCCAUGACGCAUGUUGUGGGGUGGAAAGCCUUGUGCGGCUAGGGAUGGGCCCGCGGCCUAUCAGCUUGUUGGUGGGGUGAUGGCCACCAAGGCGACGACGGGUAGCCGGCCUGAGAGGGCGACCGGCCACACUGGGACUGAGACACGGCCCAGACUCCUACGGGAGGCAGCAGUGGGGAAUCUUGCGCAAUGGGCGAAAGCCUGACGCAGCGACGCCGCGUGGGGAUGACGGCCU
This 387-nucleotide ribosomal RNA is filed under the name uncultured bacterium. Its description in RNAcentral is "bacterial SSU rRNA". It matches the Rfam family "Bacterial small subunit ribosomal RNA", at positions 28 to 417 of the family's 1533-position model. The record is from RNAcentral.